GAUGAACGCUGGCGGCGUGCUUAACACAUGCAAGUCGAACGGAAAGGCCACAGCUUGCUGUGGUACUCGAGUGGCGAACGGGUGAGUAACACGCGGGUGAUCUGCCCUGUACUUCGGGAUAAGCUUGGGAAACUGGGUCUAAUACCGGAUAGGAAUCACAUGUGGGUGUGUGGUUGGAAAGCUUUUGCGGUAUGGGAUGAGCUCGCGGCCUAUCAGCUUGUUGGUGGGGUAAUGGCCUACCAAGGCGUCGACGGGUAGCCGGCCUGAGAGGGUGUACGGCCACAUUGGGACUGAGAUACGGCCCAGACUCCUACGGGAGGCAGCAGUGGGGAAUAUUGCACAAUGGGCGCAAGCCUGAUGCAGCGACGCCGCGUGGGGGAUGACGGCCUUCGGGUUGUAAACUCCUUUCGUCAGGGACGAAGCGAAAGUGACGGUACCUGGAUAAGAAGCACCGGCUAACUACGUG
RNAcentral lists this ribosomal RNA (466 nucleotides) under uncultured bacterium. Its description in RNAcentral is "partial 16S ribosomal RNA". It matches the Rfam family "Bacterial small subunit ribosomal RNA", at positions 28 to 507 of the family's 1533-position model. The record is from RNAcentral.